GGAGAGGUGGCCGAGUGGCUGAAGGCGGCAGGUUGCUAACCUGUUAUAGGGAUUUAAACCCCUAUCGAGGGUUCGAAUCCCUCCCUCUCCG
Molecule: transfer RNA, 91 nt
Filed under: bacterium
Lineage: Bacteria
Description: tRNA-Ser
Rfam family: tRNA
About the family: Transfer RNA (tRNA) molecules are approximately 80 nucleotides in length.
Source: RNAcentral